RNAcentral lists this long non-coding RNA (239 nucleotides) under Gossypium raimondii (Peruvian cotton). RNAcentral describes it as "long non-coding RNA (GRAI_LNC001472)". The record is from RNAcentral. Lineage: Eukaryota; Viridiplantae; Streptophyta; Magnoliopsida; Malvales; Malvaceae.
UGAGCGGCAUGACAGUGCUGAUGGAGGCGGCGCCGGGCUAGGGGUCAGAGGGCUGCGGCGCUAGGGUUUCUUUUCUGAAACCCUAGCUUAGCUUUGAGGGGGGUUGGGCCAGUUGGGCCUUGUUUUGGGCUCCGGGUUAGGCUAGGUCUAGGUGGGUUUGGAAUUGGGUAGUUGGGGUUUAAUUGUUUUUGUUUAGUUUAGGGUUAAUUGGGUUUUGGGCUAAAAAUUGGGCUUGUACA